RNAcentral lists this ribosomal RNA (253 nucleotides) under uncultured bacterium. RNAcentral's name for it is "partial 16S ribosomal RNA". It matches the Rfam family "Bacterial small subunit ribosomal RNA", at positions 524 to 776 of the family's 1533-position model. The record is from RNAcentral.
UACGUAGGGUGCAAGCGUUAAUCGGAAUUACUGGGCGUAAAGCGUGCGCAGGCGGUUCGCUAAGCCCGGUGUGAAAUCCCCGGGCUUAACCUGGGAACUGCAUUUGUGACUGGCGGGCUAGAGUAUGGCAGAGGGGGGUAGAAUUCCACGUGUAGCAGUGAAAUGCGUAGAGAUGUGGAGGAAUACCGAUGGCGAAGGCAGCCCCCUGGGCCAAUACUGACGCUCAUGCACGAAAGCGUGGGGAGCAAACAGG